Molecule: ribosomal RNA, 579 nt
Filed under: Triticum aestivum (bread wheat)
Lineage: Eukaryota; Viridiplantae; Streptophyta; Magnoliopsida; Poales; Poaceae
Description: partial small subunit ribosomal RNA
Source: RNAcentral
AUGCAAGGCGCGGUGUCGGCGCGAGGAAGACGAGCAUAUCCGGGCACGGCGUCGACCGAUCUGGUGGUUGGAGCGGCGGCUUGUUCCGGUGCCAACGGCGUCCUGCUCAUCCAGAGAAGGAAAGAGAAGGGCUUGAGGGAGAGAGGAAACAGAGGAAGAAAGGAGAGGGAGUAUGACGAUCAGGAUUCAGGGAGAAGAAGAACGAUGGAAGAAGGAUGGCUGGCCUCCUCGGCGCAUGCCAUACAAUCUAAAGGUGCUCUAACAGGUUCAUAUCAGACAAGGCAACCACAACAGUACAACCAUCAUAAUCUCAUGGGUGAAAACAGUCAGAACCUGGAUCGAGCACUGUGUUUUACGGGACUUCAUAAGAUAAUCUCAAUUGUUCUGCAGAGGGAAAGCAUUCGCGGUGAUCUCAGUCAGAGUUUCGACUCCAAUGUCACGCUCGCUCAUUAUGAGUCCAAUUCAAAAGCCCAGGGCGAAACAAAGUCAUUCAAGCCAUACAGCAGCAGGUAUCCCACACCCUGUAAGGCUUCUGGUAGCACAUCAGUACCUUACUGCUAUUUCAUCAAAAGAGCCUAA